This 403-nucleotide ribosomal RNA is filed under the name uncultured bacterium. RNAcentral describes it as "bacterial SSU rRNA". It matches the Rfam family "Bacterial small subunit ribosomal RNA", at positions 357 to 776 of the family's 1533-position model. The record is from RNAcentral.
GGGAAUAUUGCACAAUGGGGGAAACCCUGAUGCAGCGACGCCGCGUGGGUGACGAAGUAUUUCGGUAUGUAAAGCCCUAUCAGCAGGGAAGAAGAUGACAGUACCUGACUAAGAAGACCCGGCUAACUACGUGCCAGCAGCCGCGGUAAUACGUAGGGGGCAAGCGUUAUCCGGAUUUACUGGGUGUAAAGGGAGCGCAGGUGGCAUGGCAAGCCAGAAGUGAAAACCCGGGGCUUAACCCCGCGGAUUGCUUUUGGAACUGUCAGGCUGGAGUGCAGGAGGGGCAGGCGGAAUUCCUGGUGUAGCGGUGAAAUGCGUAGAUAUCAGGAGGAACACCGGUGGCGAAGGCGGCCUGCUGGACUGUAACUGACACUGAGGCUCGAAAGCGUGGGGAGCAAACAGG